Aedes aegypti (yellow fever mosquito) is the source of this 526-nucleotide long non-coding RNA. RefSeq lists it as uncharacterized. The transcript is spliced from 2 exons. Lineage: Eukaryota; Metazoa; Arthropoda; Insecta; Diptera; Culicidae. The record is from RefSeq and is a predicted model, not a curated record.
CCGUGUCUUAUCCAGUGUUAAAUAAGACGGAUUGGUGCAUAAAGUAUGUCAUAUAUACAGUUAGACAACCACCACUGCCGCCUAUAGUUCAAGCUCAAGCACAGUGCCGCAUAAAAAGCCGAGAGAUCGCUGUACAAUCCUACUGAGGCACAAACGCACACGGGAAAGCCGACAAUGUUAAAUGUGGUCACCCGUCCAGUCCGAUCAUUGACCGAACAACUAACUAUUUUAGUGCAACUUCCGAUGGCCACAAUCUAUAUUAUCACCAGAGGUGUAUUCACAAUAAUGAAUACGAUAACAAAACUUAGCAGAAUGAUAAGUCGUUGAUAAACCUUGCGUGACCGAUGUUUGAGUGAGACAGCGACCACACCAAUAACGAAAGCCAUUCUAAUGAAGAUGAGUGAUACUUGUGGUUUAUGCUAAAAUGUAUUGCUUCCUGAUGACUUGUGCCAGAGAUUAUUUUGUGAUUAAAAUUAAUUUUAAAUAUGGAAAAAAUAAAAUGAGCUUGAGCUUGAGCGUGAUUGGC